AACAAAUCACAACAGCCCUAAUCAGAAAGAAGGGCUCACGGGCUGCAUGUUAUAUGACACGGCAUGCGAGGAAGCACACAUGUUGACUGAUUACCCUGUGUGUGUGUGUGUGUGAGUAGAUGCAUGUGCGUGUGUGUGUGCGUGUGUGUGUUUGUAUCCUGACAGAUGCAACUUCCACAGCUUGACGGGAAGAUACGUCUGAGGGUAGAGACACAAAGCCACUAAGAGCUGUAAGCUGAUAUCACUGUGUCCAUCUGCUAACACGCCCAUUGUAGGACUACUGGACCGGCCAUUUAUACAAACACAGGAUUCAGAUUUAUCCAUUCAUCCUGUCUGCUUAUUCAGCAUGGUGUCCGUGUUAAGAACUAUGUUCCUGCCAUCUACCAUCCAUAAGACUCCACUCUGCCGUCAUGUCUAGUGAUGUAUGGAUAUAGCGUCGGACCUGAGGGGCCUGCCGCGUCCACUCACUAUCCACAGGCCCAUCACGGGGGAUUUCACCUGUCCGCCACAAACAUGAGCGCUCAACAAUUCAUCAUUUAUGUGACGAUGGCAAAUACUCUCUCUUGGACAGAUGGCUGGUGAAGCGAGCAGCAGGGCUCCCCGGUAAUCAUAUGUGCAAUAAAUGGAGCUGCUUAAAAUCCUGCGGACUGACUGCAGAUGGCUCUCAGAUACUGUCAACGUCAACGCCCAUGAACCUGUGAUCCUCUGGCUCUGGGAGAGCUGCUCAAACACCCCACUCACACUCACAGGGCACUUAACGACACGGCGGAAAACACAGAUUAAGACAAAUUAAGAUUAUGUUCUGAAAUAUGUGUGUUUUUCAUGAAUAUUCCUCUCCUGCUGUCUUUCAGACAACCAUCUUUUCGAGCAACAGAACAUACAGAACAACAGAAAGGUUUCUCUCAUCAAUUACUGCAAGCAUGCAACUGUUACAUAAUUACACCAGCAACUCAGAGAUGUGUCUUAUUCUUCUGACUAAUUGUCAGUCAGCACUGUGUUUUAGAAAUAUGUACAUGUUGUACAGUGCCUUUUGAAUGAGCAUGACGGCACUUCAUUCAUUUUCUUUUUUGUUUUUAAUUAAAUGUUCUACUGUAUGCAUUGAAACAUGACAUCUCACCUAUAAUGUAUUUUACUGUAAUGUAGUGCUCUGCCAAUUAUCUUCUGUAGGUACAAAACAGGCUCAGAUGUGCUGUUCUGAAGGCACUAAGGCAUGAUGGAUCUUCACUGUACUGUAAGAGCCUCUGUGUGUGUGAGAGGGAGAGAGUGUGAACUUCA
Alosa sapidissima (American shad) is the source of this 1275-nucleotide long non-coding RNA. RefSeq lists it as uncharacterized. Lineage: Eukaryota; Metazoa; Chordata; Actinopteri; Clupeiformes; Clupeidae. The transcript is spliced from 3 exons. The record is from RefSeq and is a predicted model, not a curated record.